UAAUACUGAAAAUACUGAAUACUGAAAAUCUACAAUAUAUGUGACGUAAACUAUGGAUUUUCAGUACUGGCAGCAACUGGCAGUGAAUAUCGGAACGCAGCCUAAAUCAGAAUGUGUCCACGAUCCGAGAACGGUCCAAGUUGGAUGCCAAAUAUAAAAACUACUAGAAAAUUAUUUCAAAUGUUAGUAAUUUUGGUUACACAUUUUCAAACAAACUGCGCCUUUUCGAUCUUUUUUUUCGAUUCCUAAUGGUAUAUCCACACAAACUUGCAUAAGCAUAUGCAUAAGGAAUUCGAUUGGUCUACUUUCUUAUGUAAGUGCUUGUAGACCAAUCAAUUUUCUUAUGUAUAUGCUUAUGCGCUUAUGCAAGUUGUGUGGAUAUUACCAUAAGUAAAGAAUCGAUUUUCAAGAAAAUUGAAUAGUAAAGAAUCGAUUUAAAAAAUCGAUUUUUUUCAUAAAAAAAUCGAUCUUUUGAUGAGUCGAAUCGGAAUCGAACAUCUCUAACCCUAUCAGUCUGGCACUCCGGCUGUACCUCAGUUUGUUUACCUGUGCAUUUAUAUUUAAAAAUGUCGUGUUGGAUACGUGGAUGUACUACAAAAAGUGGAAAAAAAGAUGCUUCUAAAAAGAAAAGCCUUUUUACAGCUUGCACGGAAAAAAUGUUUAAUAAUUGGCGUGAUAGUGAAAUUGCUGCAAGAGGUAUUAAUACUUUUAGCAAAACGAGCCGCAUCUGUGAGUUGCAUUUUCAGAAAGAUGAUAUUAUCAAAGAAGAUAUCUUUUAUAUGGCAGACGGUACAACUAUUACGGUGCAACGUAAGAUACCGAAGUUGAAAGAGGAUGCUGUUCCAUCUAUUUUUCCAUCAGUGAUUAUGUACUAUAAUGUAUUAAACCCCAUUAACAAGGAGAAAUUAAAAGAACAAAAUGAAGGAACAAGAAUUACAGACCAAUUAAAGAAUACUGUUAAUUGUUUCGUUUCCGUGCCACCAUGUGAAUCAAAGAAUCAUAUUUCACACCACGAACAAAAUUAUACAAAUGAAGAUAACGAGUUGCAAACAUGGAUUGAAAUUAAGAAGAAUUUUAAAAGUCUUACUCUUACAUCAGAAUACUGCAUCCCCGUAAUUACGGAUGAGAUGGCAAUGUGGACUUAUUGGAAAGAAGACUUGUCAUCCUGCAUGUGGCGUGUUAUACUUAAAAAAAACAUGAUACUUUGGGUUUAUGUUGGAGAAAGACAAAUUGACUCUCUAUGUGGGAAAAUAAAAAAUAUAGGUGGUAUUCAGAAUAUUUUUCAAAAAUUAUCCAAUGUCAAACCAUGUAAAGAAGUUGGCAAUAAAACCUGUUCAAAAUUGUGUGUUGGAUACUUGAUAGGAGAUAGUACGGUAUAUAAUGUGCAGUGCCAAAGAUGUUUACCAUGUGCAAAACAUUAUAAAGAUAUACUUAAAACAUCAAAGAUGCCCACGCUGCAGCAAAAAUUGUCAAAAAAUGGUCAAUCUCUCCAUGUGAAAGGUACAUAUAAAAAAGUCAGUAAAAUGUAUAAGAAAGAAAUGCGCUCAGGGAAAUGCACAGGCAGUGGAAGAUGCUAUAUGAAAAUUACCCAUUAAUUAGCAGUUGUCUGUGCAAACAUGUCUAACAACUUCUAAAGUAAAAAAUAAUAAAAUAAAGUGUAUAAGAUACACCACAGUGGGUAUAUAAAUGUUUGUCAUUGCGGAUUAAAAGCAGUAAUUAAAGGUUGCUACAGAUUUCAAGAAAAUACGUUUUUAAAGUAUUAAAAGAAAAAGUUCAAAAAUGAAACUAUCUAAUGUGCGUGCCAUUUUGCUGUUAGAUGAGAUAAAAGUUUCCAAAACAAUCGCAUUUAAUCGUAACAACUUUCAAUUUGAGGGUUCUACGAAUUUGGGAAAAUACACUCCAAAACUCGAUUGUACAAAAAAUGACAAGGUUACGCACAAAAUUAUACGAUUUUUCCUAAUCACAAGAAUGUUUUUUCUCGACAAACAAAAAUAAUAACAUUGAAAAAGAGCAAACAAAAGAAAGGAGAAAAUGUUCUAAGCUGAACCAGGCGAGUGAUGGAUAUUGCUACAAUAUGCAAUUUUCAAUGUCAAUCUGCAUCUGCUACCGCCAGGAAAUGCAUCUGUUAUCAUCGUAAAAGUAAAAUUUGCUAGGAAAAGAAAAUGCCAAAAACAACAAGCAAUAAUAAAUAAAAA
RNAcentral lists this unclassified non-coding RNA (2195 nucleotides) under Monomorium pharaonis (pharaoh ant). Its description in RNAcentral is "uncharacterized LOC105839129, transcript variant X2". The record is from RNAcentral. Lineage: Eukaryota; Metazoa; Arthropoda; Insecta; Hymenoptera; Formicidae.